Molecule: ribosomal RNA, 253 nt
Filed under: uncultured bacterium
Lineage: Bacteria
Description: partial 16S ribosomal RNA
Rfam family: Bacterial small subunit ribosomal RNA
Source: RNAcentral
UACGUAGGGGGCAAGCGUUGUCCGGAUUUAUUGGGCGUAAAGAGCUCGUAGGCGGUCUGUCGCGUCGGCUGUGAAAACCCGAGGCUCAACCUCGGGCCUGCAGUCGAUACGGGCAGACUAGAGUGUGGCAGGGGAGACUGGAAUUCCUGGUGUAGCGGUGAAAUGCGCAGAUAUCAGGAGGAACACCGGUGGCGAAGGCGGGUCUCUGGGCCAUAACUGACGCUGAGGAGCGAAAGCGUGGGGAGCGAACAGG